GAUGAACGCUAGCGGCAGGCUUAAUACAUGCAAGUCGAGGGGCAACAGGGGUAGCAAUACCUGCUGGCGACCGGCAAACGGGUGCGGAACACGUACAGAACCUUCCUUUAAGCGGGGGAUGGCCCAUAGAAAUGUGGAUUAAUACCCCAUAGUAACAUUAGUUGGCAUCAAUUGAUAUUUAAAGAUUUAUCACUUAAAGAUGGCUGUGCGGCUGAUUAGGUAGUUGGUGCGGGAACGGCCCACCAAGCCAGCGAUCAGUAACUGGUGUGAGAGCACGACCAGUCACAC
RNAcentral lists this ribosomal RNA (288 nucleotides) under uncultured bacterium. Its description in RNAcentral is "partial 16S ribosomal RNA". It matches the Rfam family "Bacterial small subunit ribosomal RNA", at positions 28 to 313 of the family's 1533-position model. The record is from RNAcentral.